GACGAACGCUGGCGGCGUGCUUAACACAUGCAAGUCGAGCGGAGCGGCGCACGGGUGAGUAACGCGUGAGUAACUGCUCCCCUCUCUGGGAUAACAGUUGGAAACGGCUGCUAAUACCGGAUAGUGGGGGGUGACUCGUGUCCUAUCGGCUUGUUGGUGGGGUAGUGGCCUACCAAGGCGACGACGGGUAGCAGACCUGGGAGGGCGACCGGCCCAAUUGGGCUGAGAUACAGCCCAAAAGCCUACGGGAGGCAUCAGUGGAGAAUAUUGCACAAUGGGGGAAACCCUGAUGCAGCAGCGCCGCGGGCGGGAAGACGGCCUUCGUGUAGAAAACAGCUUUCAGCCAUGACGCGGUAGUGACAGAAGAAGCACCGGCUAACUACGUGCCAGCAGCCGCGGUAAUAC
RNAcentral lists this ribosomal RNA (405 nucleotides) under uncultured bacterium. Its description in RNAcentral is "partial 16S ribosomal RNA". It matches the Rfam family "Bacterial small subunit ribosomal RNA", at positions 28 to 526 of the family's 1533-position model. The record is from RNAcentral.